Molecule: unclassified non-coding RNA, 399 nt
Filed under: uncultured fungus
Lineage: Eukaryota; Fungi
Description: partial contains 5.8S ribosomal RNA and internal transcribed spacer 2
Rfam family: 5.8S ribosomal RNA (bases 1-133)
Source: RNAcentral
UGGCUCUCGCAUCGAUGAAGAACGCAGCGAAAUGCGAUAAGUAAUGUGAAUUGCAGAAUUCAGUGAAUCAUCGAAUCUUUGAACGCACCUUGCGCUCUAUGGUAUUCCGUAGAGCAUGCCUGUUUGAGUGUCAUGAAAACAAUCAACCUUGACUUUGGGUAACUCUGAAGACUUGGAUUGGACUUGGGUGUUUGCCAGCCUCACAGCUGGCUCAUCUUAAAUGUAUUAGCUGGAUUUGUCUGGAUGACAGGUUUGACUUGGCGUAAUAAGUAUUUCGCUGAGGACAUCUCUUUUGAGGUGGCCAGUCUUCAGACAGCAGUCUGCUUUCCAACCUAUGUUUCUCUUUGGAGACAUGACUUUUUAUUAUUUGGCCUCAAAUCAGGUAGGACUACCCGCUGA